CCUAUAUUCCUAUAUGGCUCUCUCUGCUUCCAUCUUAGUAUAUUUACCCCUCAGCAUUCUAUGGAACUGAUUAUAUGGGGUAGAUUUUAUUCCUUCCACCUAGGAAAGUCUGGAAUCCCUUAGACAAGGGUGCUCAAGUGCCAUGAGCCAUGAAGACACUGAAGAAUCUGCAGGCACAUCUGAAUAUUAGAGCAUGCAUGGGAAGCGACUGCCCAGCCCAUGGGCUUGGGUGGCCAUUAGGCUUCCAAAUUCCAAUAUGAUUCACACCAUUCAUAAGACAAGUCCCAACUGGACCCUCCAGGACCUGCUGUUUAUGUUUUACCUCGAACAGAAAAGACCACAGAGCCACCCUCUAACAUCCUGAAUCUAUAGACAUAAUGACACCAGCAACAAUGACACUGGUUUCAUUCGCAUCUGUAGAAGGUCUACUCACACAUGGACCCCUGUUUUGAGAAAGAUAUUGUGGGCAAAAACUCCAGGGACUGCACUCAUGUGCAGCUUAAAAGAAAAAGCUACUUCAGUAAGUCUGAAGUUGUCCGUGGCAGCAGCUCCCCACAAUACCUGUGUGAUGCUAUAAAACAGUAGUCAGGAAAUGUAAGAAGCAUUACAGCCAGCCUCUGAAGAUCACACCAUCUGUCAAGUCCCCACCUGGGCUGGAAUGUGUGUGUGUGCUGAUGAUAGGUCAUAUGACCAUAUGACUUUGUGGCAGUCAAGGUGAGUCAUUUACCAGUCCUGCUGUUGUGUGACAAAGCUAGACUGGCUAAGAGGCCUUGCAUCCCACACAGGGUAAUCCUCUGUUCAAGGGGCAGAAAAUCUCCUUGUGGUCACCAUGGACUCAACUCCAAGACAGAUGAGGCUAGAGAAUCGGUGUCAAUUGUAUUGAACAGAUAGCAGACCCACGCCAAAGAAAAUUAAACAGAGAAUAUACUUUCAAAAGGAUGACAUCUCAGAUGUGUCUCAGGACACACCAGACCUAAGGAGAGCUCAUGAGGAAGGAGGCUCCAGCCACAGUGUAUUGCUGUGUCACCUGAGUCAAGCUCUGGAGGCUGAAGUCUGAGCUCAAGGUGUUGACAGGGUGGCCUCCUUC
This 1087-nucleotide long non-coding RNA is filed under the name Homo sapiens (human). RNAcentral's name for it is "HSALNT0037691". Lineage: Eukaryota; Metazoa; Chordata; Mammalia; Primates; Hominidae. The record is from RNAcentral.